This is a long non-coding RNA of Triticum aestivum (bread wheat), 2474 nucleotides long. RefSeq lists it as uncharacterized. The record is from RefSeq and is a predicted model, not a curated record. NCBI's taxonomy places the organism in Eukaryota, Viridiplantae, Streptophyta, Magnoliopsida, Poales, Poaceae. The transcript is spliced from 4 exons.
CAAUGGGCAUGGUUUCACCUCGUGUGUGUCUUGUACCCUUUGUUGACUUUCCUCAUCUCACGCUUGAGCUCAACACAGGUUAGAGGAUUGUUAGGUUUUUCCCUGCCGCCGCCGCCGCCGUAUCUAUCUGCCCAUCUCCGGCGAUUGGAGUCUUGAUCUCUUCUGGCUGGAGGAUUGGCUCCUCUCGCCCUGAAGCCCUCCUUCCUUGAGCAGCCCCUCUUGCCUCUUCACCAUAGGCCGAGGCCGAAGCGGGGGCACACCGGCGCCGCCCCGAGAUACUCUAUUGGCAGUGCGAAUCGACGCUGCCACCCAAGAUCUUCAACUACCCUUCCGCAUCCCUGCACCAACGACCAUGCGGCAGCAGCAGAUCCAUGGCGGGACGAUCUUGGCGGUUGGGAAGAGGACGCACUUGGACCAAGGACUAAACAUUGUGACCUGCACUGCUGGACUUUCUCUUGCUUACCGGAAAAUGGAGUGUCCAAUGGACACUCUGCUAUGGAGGAGGAAGAGGAAUGGAUGAUGAGAAAUUUCAUCACUACACAUUAUAUGUAAUAAACAUGCUCAUUAUUAGAUUUUUAUUGCAUCAUUAUUAAAUUUUCAUUAGCGGGAGAGACAAUUGCAUACUGCUCAGCCUAUUUGUUAGAGAGGAUUGUAGUGUCUGGCUUGGACAAGCGAAAAUGUACAUCUGCCCAGCUGUGGUAUCUCAUGUUUGACUUCCCUGAAAUCUGAAAUGUCCGGAACUGCUCAAAUUUAUAGGUCGGCAUCUUAAAUUUUCUUUCUUAGAUAGAUGCUUCUUUAUUACGAGUUGAUUUUGUGGUGUUGACAGAGUUUGCUGAAUAAUUAGAUUCUUAGAUGCAGUUCUUAAAUAUGGAUGAGAUACCGGAAAGGAGACUUGUGGUUCCACUUUCUUUUAUAUCCUCUUCCUCGACCUGAUUUACUUUUCUGAUAAUGCAACAAGCUGGACAAUAAUUAGAGGGCAGCAGAUGAGACUGGGUAUUGUCGUGGGAUGUGUCAGCACAUGCGUGUCUCUCCCAUUAUGACGACCUGGCUGCCUAUCUUCCCAGAAUGUAGGCCUUGAUCAAGCGGAAUGACUCCCCUCAGUUUGUUCAUUGUAGUACCAUCACUGAGCAUGACUUUUGUAAUUGAAAGGUAUGAACUCCGAGUUAUUUCUCUUCCUAAAACAGUAGACAUUGCAACCAGCCGAUCAUGUAAAGUGGGUCUUAAGAACCUCUGGUCAUAAAAAAAAGUUUCCUAUAGUGUUUUGCAAGAUAUACCCAGCAGAACUUUACUGAAUCUUCUAAGCUUGAUGGCAGUGUGUAUCAGAUAUUGCAUAUAUGAUCACUUCCUGUAAUGAUCGGCCAUGUAGAAAAACUUUAAAAGACAGGCAAAUAAAAACGACAAGCAGCAGCUAAAACAGAAAUAACUAAAAAUAUAACUUUUUCCAAGAAAGUUUCAUUUGUGCUCUCCACAGGGAUGGCUCAAACGAUAAGACAUGUUAUUCACGAUAACCCUUUUUUCGAAAUUAUAUUCCUUCUUUUAUACAACUUAGCAUUGAUGACUCACAGUUGUACAACACUAGGUUCUGCAGUCAUGUAAGUCGGAUCAUAAGAACCUAUGUUCAUUUCAUUAGAAAAACUCAAAGUUUACAAACAGUGUAUUGCAAGAGACCCAGUAGAACUGCAUUGAAUCUUCGAAACUUGACUGCAGAAUAUAGAGUUUUGCCUUAUAAAGUUCUCAGUCUUAGUACUUUAGUUACCUUCAGCCAAUGAAGAAACUGAGUUGGAAAGUGAAAAUAUUAUGCAUCUCAACAUAAAUUAAGGUAUUUACUAUCUCUAAUUGUUCUUUUUUCAGUGUAGUUCAUUCUGAUCUAGGCUUCCAACGUAUAAAUGUUCUAGAAACAUAAUUUUGUCUUCAAACACAAAUUCAGUCUACUCAUUGGUUUGAUUCAUUUUUUCACAUCUGCCCCCUUCUUGUGUUGUUCAUUGUUUAGUGCAAAAACAUCCCGCAGUGGCACAUAUGAACUGUAGAGAGGAGUUCCUAAGUUAAACUGAGUUUUCUUUGUGCUAGCUGCAUACACUAACUAGAUUAUUAUCAUUGCAUGUCGUUAUAUGCAAGAACCAAACUUCACUCUAAUUUUGUUUUGGCAGCAAAUUAUUGAAUCAUUCUGUUUUCGGAUAGUUGCCAUGUGGUAGUAUCAUAAGUAGCUAAUAUAUGGUUUCUCCUCAUUUAUUUGCAGAUUAAACAUUCCAACGAUAUUCUGUAGAUGAUAUUAACGGACGAAAGGAAGACCUGCUUCACAUUGUUGUUGUAGCAGAUUUAGUAUUUGAACUGAUUAUGUCAUUUUGAUUCAACAAUUUCACUAAGUUUACUUAUUCUAUAUUGCUUAGUAUUAUCUGAUCGUCCUGAUUGCAUAAAUAAUGAUCACACAUGUUCAGAUCUGAAAUUUAUACAAGGUGUUUAUGUUUAGUAUUUUA